Molecule: ribosomal RNA, 495 nt
Filed under: uncultured bacterium
Lineage: Bacteria
Description: partial 16S ribosomal RNA
Rfam family: Bacterial small subunit ribosomal RNA
Source: RNAcentral
GACGAACGCUGGCGGCGUGCCUAAUACAUGCAAGUAGAACGCUGAAGGAGGAGCUUGCUUCUCUGGAUGAGUUGCGAACGGGUGAGUAACGCGUAGGUAACCUGCCUGGUAGCGGGGGAUAACUAUUGGAAACGAUAGCUAAUACCGCAUAACAGUAGAUAUCGCAUGAUAUCUACUUGAAAGGUGCAAUUGCAUCACUACCAGAUGGACCUGCGUUGUAUUAGCUAGUUGGUGAGGUAACGGCUCACCAAGGCGACGAUACAUAGCCGACCUGAGAGGGUGAUCGGCCACACUGGGACUGAGACACGGCCCAGACUCCUACGGGAGGCAGCAGUAGGGAAUCUUCGGCAAUAGACGGAAGUCUGACCGAGCAACGCCGCGUGAGUGAAGAAGGUUGUCGGAUCGUAAAGCUCUGUUGUAAGAGAAGAACGAGUGUGAGAGUGGAAAGUUCACACUGUGACGGUAUCUUACCAGAAAGGGACGGCUAACUACGUG